AAGUCGAGCGGCAGGGUGCAGCAAUGCGCCUGAGAGCGGCGGACUGGUGAGUAGCGCGUGGGUAACCUACCCUUGGGAUGGGGAUAGCCAUUAGAAAUAGUGGGUAAUACCGAAUACGGUUGCGAGGCAGGGGCUUUGCAACGAAAGGGGCUUCGGCUCCGCCCGGGGAUGGGCCCGCGUUCCAUUAGCUAGUUGGUGGGGUAAGGGCCUACCAAGGCGAUGAUGGGUAGCCGGCCUGAGAGGGUGAACGGCCACACUGGGACUGAGAUACGGCCCAGACUCCUACGGGAGGCAGCAGCUAAGAAUAUUCCGCAAUGGACGAAAGUCUGACGGAGCGACGCCGCGUGGAUGAAGAAGGCCGAAAGGUUGUAAAGUUCUUUUGUUGCCGAAGAAUAAGCGGGGGAGGGAAUGCCCUCGUGAUGACGUUAGGCGACGAAUAAGCCCCGGCUAAUUACGUGCCAGCAGCCGCGGUAACACGUAAGGGGCGAGCGUUGUUCGGAAUUAUUGGGCGUAAAGGGCGCGUAGGCGGUUAUGUAAGCCUGGCGUGAAAUGGUAGGGCUUAACCCUAUCACGGCGUUGGGAACUGUGUAACUUGAGUCAUGGAGGGGGAGUUGGAAUUCCGCGUGUAGGGGUGAAAUCUGUAGAUAUGCGGAAGAACACCGGUGGCGAAGGCGAAC
Molecule: ribosomal RNA, 677 nt
Filed under: uncultured spirochete
Lineage: Bacteria; Pseudomonadati; Spirochaetota; Spirochaetia; Spirochaetales
Description: bacterial SSU rRNA
Rfam family: Bacterial small subunit ribosomal RNA
Source: RNAcentral